Molecule: unclassified non-coding RNA, 256 nt
Filed under: Hevea brasiliensis (rubber tree)
Lineage: Eukaryota; Viridiplantae; Streptophyta; Magnoliopsida; Malpighiales; Euphorbiaceae
Source: RNAcentral
AAAAAUCAAGGUGGUUAUGAUUUAUUGGGACGGACCAAGGAUCAAAUUCGAACAAAAGAGCAGGUUAAUGCUGCACUUAAGACAUGCUUAGAUUUGAAACUGGAUGGUCUUGUCAUAAUUGGCGGAGUGACGUCAAACACUGAUGCUGCUCAACUUGCCGAAACCUUUGCUGAAGCUAAAUGCCCCACAAAGGUUGUAGGAGUUCCUGUUACUUUGAAUGGCGAUCUCAAGAAUCAGUUUGUUGAAACAAAUGUUG